Molecule: ribosomal RNA, 1056 nt
Filed under: Triticum aestivum (bread wheat)
Lineage: Eukaryota; Viridiplantae; Streptophyta; Magnoliopsida; Poales; Poaceae
Description: partial small subunit ribosomal RNA
Source: RNAcentral
AUGUCGUCAGCGUGGCGCCGCUCGGUAAGGCGCCGCGCGCCCGUGAGCGAGCGGGAGGAGGGCCGGCGGGAGCUGGGCCGUAGGGUGGAGGAGCUGGAGGAGGCGGUCGAGGGGCUUCGUGGGGAGAAGAACGCGGCGGAGGCAGAGGAAGCGGCGCUGUGCGCUGAGCUGAACGCGGAGCGCGGCGCGGCGGAAUCCGCGGCGCGCGAGACCAUGUCGAUGAUCGAGCGGCUUCAGCGGGAGAAGGCGGCCGCGCUCCUGGAAGCGCGCCAGUUCCGCCGGCUGGCCGAGGGACGCGUCGAGCGCGACCGGCAGCUCCACAACGAGCUUGCGUCGUUGUCGGCCCUCGCCGGCGGCUACCUCGCCCUCCUCCACGCCCACGGCAUCGGCCCCGCUGACGAGAACUGUUACCAUGACCAUGAGGAGGAGCGUCCCGUAGAAGUAGAACACGUCGAACCGAAGGUCGACAGGGAGAGUACCGGCGAGAGCGUCGUGGUGGUCAAGAAGUCGGUCCCGCCGCCUCCCGCGGAGGAGCUGGAGUGCACAAAAGACAUGGGGUGCGCGGCCGCGUCGAAGUCCGUGGCUGUGGAGUGCACGGAAGAGGAGCGCGUGGACGGUGCGCCGGACCUGUACGCGAGGGUGGGGGCGCUGGAGGCGGACAGGGCGGCCACACGGAGGGAGGUGGCGGCGCUGCGAGCCGAGCCAGCGCGAGCGGUGCUAGCAAGGGACAUGGCACGGCGCCUGUGCCGUGAAUCCGCGGCCGUCACGACGGUGCAGAAGCCGCGCUUCUCCGUGCUCGCCAUUUGCAAGUGGUUCUUCCCCAUGAUCCUAAGGAGCAAGAGAUGUUUUACGGCCAGGUCCGCGCAGGUGGCGCUCCUAACCAAAAAUGUUCUUCUGUCUUUCAGUCGCAGUUUUCACAAGACGCAAAAAACGUUUCCUGAAUCUCUCACGCUGACGCUUGGCUUCUCGUCGGCGCUGCUCGGCAUGCUUCUACUUCUAGAGAGAUUCACGGCUGCACUGCAUCGCCGCCGGCGGCGGUCGUUGUUGGGAUCAUAG